GACGUAGGAUGCGAACGUUAUCCGGAAUGAUUGGGCGUAAAGGGUGCGUAGGUGGCCUGACAAGUUAACAGUGAAAAAUCGAGGCUCAACCUCGUGGAAACUGAUAAUACUGUCUGGCUUGAGUACAGAAGAGGUUAAAGGAAUUCCAUGUGGAGCGGUAAAAUGCAUAGAUAUAUGGAAGAACACCAACAACGGCGAAGGCAGUUAACUAUUCUGUUACUGACAUUGAGGCACGAAAGCGUGGGGAGCAAAACGG
This 256-nucleotide ribosomal RNA is filed under the name uncultured bacterium. Its description in RNAcentral is "partial 16S ribosomal RNA". It matches the Rfam family "Bacterial small subunit ribosomal RNA", at positions 524 to 776 of the family's 1533-position model. The record is from RNAcentral.